CUUUUUGCUGGUAUUUUCGCUAUCCUCCCGCGCCUUUUCGUGUGGUAGGUGACGUCUAUGCUGUCAGCGCCGCAAAUUUGUACUUAUCGGAGUAAUUUGAAUGGCCCGUAUUGCUGGAGUAAACAUUCCAGAU
This is a regulatory RNA element of Simiduia agarivorans SA1 = DSM 21679, 133 nucleotides long. It matches the Rfam family "Alpha operon ribosome binding site". From Rfam's summary of the family: The bacterial alpha operon ribosome binding site is surrounded by this complex pseudoknotted structure. Translation of the mRNA produces 4 ribosomal protein products, one of which (S4) acts as a translational repressor by binding to the nested pseudoknot region. The record is from Rfam. NCBI's taxonomy places the organism in Bacteria, Pseudomonadati, Pseudomonadota, Gammaproteobacteria, Cellvibrionales, Cellvibrionaceae.